GACGAACGCUGGCGGCGUGCUUAACACAUGCAAGUCGAACGGAAAGGCCCUGCUUUUGUGGGGUGCUCGAGUGGCGAACGGGUGAGUAACACGUGAGUAACCUGCCCUUGACUUUGGGAUAACUUCAGGAAACUGGGGCUAAUACCGGAUAGGAGCUCCUGCUGCAUGGGGGGGGUUGGAAAGUUUCGGCGGUUGGGGAUGGACUCGCGGCUUAUCAGCUUGUUGGUGGGGUAGUGGCUUACCAAGGCUUUGACGGGUAGCCGGCCUGAGAGGGUGACCGGCCACAUUGGGCCUGAGAUACGGACCAGAGUCCUACGGGAGGCAGAAGGGGGGAAUAUUGCACAAUGGGCGGAAGCCUGAUGCAGCAACGCCGCGUGCGGGAUGACGGCCUUCGGGUUGUAAACCGCUUUCGCCUGUGACGAAGCGUGAGUGACGGUAAUGGGUAAAGAAGCACCGGCUAACUACGUG
RNAcentral lists this ribosomal RNA (468 nucleotides) under uncultured bacterium. RNAcentral's name for it is "partial 16S ribosomal RNA". It matches the Rfam family "Bacterial small subunit ribosomal RNA", at positions 28 to 507 of the family's 1533-position model. The record is from RNAcentral.